UACGUAGGGGGCAAGCGUUGUCCGGAAUCAUUGGGCGUAAAGAGCGCGUAGGCGGCCCAGUAAGUCCGCUCUGAAAGUCAGGGGCUCAACCCCUGAAUGCGGGUGGAUACUGCUGGGCUAGAGUCCGGAAGAGGCGAGUGGAAUUCCUGGUGUAGCGGUGAAAUGCGUAGAUAUCUGGAGGAACACCGGUGGCGAAGGCGGCAUCCUGGACCAACACUGACACUGAUGAGCGAAAGCCAGGGGAGCAAACGGG
Molecule: ribosomal RNA, 253 nt
Filed under: uncultured bacterium
Lineage: Bacteria
Description: partial 16S ribosomal RNA
Rfam family: Bacterial small subunit ribosomal RNA
Source: RNAcentral